Molecule: long non-coding RNA, 611 nt
Organism: Helicoverpa armigera (cotton bollworm)
Lineage: Eukaryota; Metazoa; Arthropoda; Insecta; Lepidoptera; Noctuidae
Exons: 3
Source: RefSeq, a predicted model, not a curated record
GGAAAACUGGAGACUGCAGAUGAUAUCAAAUUUUACAGAAAGCGAGUCAUCUGUGACAUACAUUUGCAGACAAGUUUAAGAAUCGCAACAACCGUUUAAAUAACAUAGCUGUUCCUACUCUCCAUCUUCAGGGUGCUCCAUCACAAGAUGCUCAUAUGCCUCCUGCAACUCCACAUAUACCAACUGAACUUCCUAUGCCUGAACAUAAUAUAUGGAAUCUGCCUUCUACAUCAAAGCAAAUAGUCACUGGUGCUCCAUCACAAGAUGCUCAUAUGCCUCCUGCAACUCCACAUAUACCAACUGAACUUCCUAUGCCUGAACAUAAUAUAUGGGAUCUGCCUUCUACAUCAAAGCAAAUAAUCACUGGUAUGUAAACGCUUGGCUACCUACAUUCUCAAAUUAUGUUUAACUAGCUACCAUAAUUAAUUACUGCAUUAAGUAAUAUGUAACUGUUGUGUAGUCAUUACAAACACACUUCAACUUGAUUUAUUGUAAUGACAAUUUAGGUUAAUAAUCCUCAUGUAACUCACACUAGUAAUUUUGAUGUUUACAAUGACAAUGGUGAAUUAUUAUUAUUUUAUUUUCAGCUGCACCUCCCAAUGCGUGUUAUA